RNAcentral lists this ribosomal RNA (456 nucleotides) under Theileria ovis. Its description in RNAcentral is "SSU rRNA". It matches the Rfam family "Eukaryotic small subunit ribosomal RNA", at positions 514 to 1003 of the family's 1831-position model. Lineage: Eukaryota; Apicomplexa; Aconoidasida; Piroplasmida; Theileriidae. The record is from RNAcentral.
AUGAUGGGAAUUUAAACCUCUUCCAGAGUAUCAAUUGGAGGGCAAGUCUGGUGCCAGCAGCCGCGGUAAUUCCAGCUCCAAUAGCGUAUAUUAAAAUUGUUGCAGUUAAAAAGCUCGUAGUUGAAUUUCUGCUGCAUUGCUUUUGCUCCUUUACGAGUCUUUGCAUUGUGGCUUAUUUCGGACUUUGUUUUACAAUGUCCGGAUGUUUACUUUGAGAAAAUUAGAGUGCUCAAAGCAGGCUUUCGCCUUGAAUAGUUUAGCAUGGAAUAAUAAAGUAGGACUUUGGUUCUAUUUUGUUGGUUUUAGGUACCAAAGUAAUGGUUAAUAGGAACAGUUGGGGGCAUUCGUAUUUAACUGUCAGAGGUGAAAUUCUUAGAUUUGUUAAAGACGAACUACUGCGAAAGCAUUUGCCAAGGAUGUUUUCAUUAAUCAAGAACGAAAGUUAGGGGAUCGAAG